Molecule: long non-coding RNA, 246 nt
Filed under: Prunus persica (peach)
Lineage: Eukaryota; Viridiplantae; Streptophyta; Magnoliopsida; Rosales; Rosaceae
Description: long non-coding RNA (PPER_LNC002548)
Source: RNAcentral
AGGUUUUGGAAAGUUUCAUAGCAAACUUUCGCUUCUUCUUCCUCAUGAGUAACCUUCAUAUUUUUCAUCUUUGAGUUUUCCAAAUUGUUUCUUUUUGAAAACUGCAUUUGAAAUAUGAAAACUUCAUCUUGCUAGAUCAAACACUCUAUCAUAUACAUCUAGGUCAGAUUCAAGAUUAAUUUCUUCAAGAGUAUGGUUUCUUGAAGAAAUUGGUCAUUUUCUCCAUGAAUCCAAAUUUCAUUUUUG